UUCAUAAGUGAAAGUGUUUAGUUUUAAAAUAGCUGAAAAUUGAGAAGCGUGGGGAUAUUUUGUACUACUAUGUAAAUAUUUUAAUUUUCAUCAUUUUAAAACAAAGUAAAUUAAAUGAGCACUUAGGAUAAAAUACAGUAUAUGAUAUAAUUUGUUGUUUGGUUAAGAAGAGCAAAUCACUCUAACCUGUUGGCUAUCCUGCAAAUCAGCUGUUAUCAUCCUUGGUCAAAGAUGAGAUUCAUGGUAAAGUCAUUAGUUCAGUUCUAGUUCAUGUCUGGGCCCCAUAGCAAACACACACUCGUUGUCAUAACGAGUUUCAAGUGUGCUGUGGCUACCAAUUUGACAACUCGAAUCCGAGCCCUGGGGUACCAUUCCGGUGCUAUAUUUGCAAGUCUACUGACUAAAGUAAGACUGUUCUCAUUUAUAUUAGAAGUAAUUAGUUACAAGAAGUAAUGUACUUAGAAGGGAAGAAUUUGAUUUAAUUAAAUGUCAUGUAUAUUACUA
Long non-coding RNA from Macrosteles quadrilineatus (aster leafhopper), 504 nucleotides. RefSeq lists it as uncharacterized. Lineage: Eukaryota; Metazoa; Arthropoda; Insecta; Hemiptera; Cicadellidae. The record is from RefSeq and is a predicted model, not a curated record. The transcript is spliced from 2 exons.